RNAcentral lists this ribosomal RNA (466 nucleotides) under uncultured bacterium. RNAcentral describes it as "bacterial SSU rRNA". It matches the Rfam family "Bacterial small subunit ribosomal RNA", at positions 329 to 793 of the family's 1533-position model. The record is from RNAcentral.
UUCCAGACUCCUACGGGAGGCAGCAGUGAGGAAUAUUGGUCAAUGGGCUAAGGCCUGAACCAGCCAAGUCGCGUGAGGGAAGACGGUCCUAUGGAUUGUAAACCUCUUUUGUCGGGGAGCAACGAGGCCACGUGUGGCCGAAGUGAGAGUACCCGAAGAAAAAGCAUCGGCUAACUCCGUGCCAGCAGCCGCGGUAAUACGGAGGAUGCGAGCGUUAUCCGGAUUUAUUGGGUUUAAAGGGUGCGUAGGCGGACAGUCAAGUCAGCGGUAAAAAUGCGGUGCUCAACGCCGUACAGCCGUUGAAACUGGCAGUCUUGAGUGGGCGAGAAGUAUGCGGAAUGCGUGGUGUAGCGGUGAAAUGCAUAGAUAUCACGCAGAACUCCGAUUGCGAAGGCAGCAUACCGGCGCUCAACUGACGCUGAGGCACGAAAGCGUGGGGAUCGAACAGGAUUAGAUACCCGUGUAU